Malus domestica (apple) is the source of this 590-nucleotide non-coding RNA. The record is from RefSeq and is a predicted model, not a curated record. Lineage: Eukaryota; Viridiplantae; Streptophyta; Magnoliopsida; Rosales; Rosaceae.
CUUUAUGUUCUUUGUUUUAAAUUUUGUUUCUUUGGAAACUCUAAGAACUUAGGAUCAUUCAUUUUCCGUUUGUGUUCUGGUUUUGCAGAUACGUUAAAAGGCUCGUUUUAUGCAAAUCCAAUAUUGGAUAGCCCUACAACAGAUGAAUCUCUAAUUCAAAGGUAUCCAUCAUACUGUGGUUCAAAUAUAUGGCCCGAUAGUGAAUUGCCAGAACUAGAACCUUCAAAGCUCUUGGAAAGGUGUUCCUUGGAGUUGGGCUUAUGGUCGCAUAUCACUGUGACAGAUACGGUAUGGUCUUUGUUGUUAAGGUUUACACUAAGAGAGCAUAGCUAUCCUGUUUAGUGUUUUUCCGGUCGCAUUUUACACUUAAGUUUUCAUGACACUUAAGUUUUCAUGACGCAUGUUGCAAACAUCAUACAUUUUUCAAGCCAAAUUUCUCUCUUGUCAGUUGUCAUCAUCGACUUCCUUUCCCGACACGGGUACAUUAGCCCCGAAUCCUUUGGAUACCUGGAUCUACUACAUAUAUAUUAAAAUUUGCAUCGAUUUUCUUCUUUUCUUAUUCUCUGUAUCUCUCAAUUUUUCUUCCCCUU